UUUUUUUAUAAAUGGUAGGACCUGAAGUUAUACUGUUGCCUAGAUAACAGUUAGGCUAAGACUGUGGAUGGCUGAUGGGAAACGUGGAUGUACUUCCUGGUGUAACGGGUGCCAGUUGCAAGUUACCACGCCAGAAGUAAUUACACACUGUCCUCCUGACAAAAGCAGAACUGCUUUUGAUGUAACACAUUUCAUGAGAAUGGGGAAACAGCUGUAUAUUUUCCCAGGCUAAGAUACAUCCUUUCUAAUAUAUUUUGUGGAAUGCUGUAUCCAGGCAGAGCACCGGUCCCAAAUUUGCAGCAUUAAAUUCCAAGUUAGGAGAAGUUUAAGGAGUAAAUUGCUUGAGCAGUGCAAAUGCCUCUUCUCUGCCAAUAGCAGAGCUAAGUUUUCUCCCUUUGUGGGUGUAACAAGUUCAUCCUAGUAAGCAUAGAAAUAGUAGACUGAUAUAAUUAGGAUUCUGUUCAUUUAAUUCAUUGUUACUUUAACUGGAUGCCUAUAUCUUCCUCUGCACAGAUUGAAGUUCUAGUUACUAAUGUUUCUUGAGUCACCCUGCUUUGAAAUAUAAAUCAACUAAGCUUUUGGUUUCUAAAAUAUGUAGUUUCUCUAGAAGUGAAUCCUUGUGAGGCCACAAAACAAUUAUAAUUUUAGAAUUGCCAUAAUGCUUUAUGUUUUAGUAAGUUUGUUAAUGUAAAGAAUUAAUUGUAGUCCUUUAAGAUGGGAUUUAGAAAAUAUUUUUAGAAUAUAUGAAGAGAAUUAUCUAUUAUGUUAAUUUGGGAGGAAACUAAAUGAAGUCUUCAUCUUCAGUCAUACUGAAGUUCAGAGUUACUUUCUUCAGAAAGACUGUAACAGUGAAUUGAAAGGAAAGAACACCCUUGAAACUCUUAGGUUUACUUUGCUGUUGUUAAUUUGUAAUUGGCAUUUUUGGGUUUUUUGGGUUUUUGGGGGUUUUUUUAAGCAAAAUGUCUCCAAAUCUAAAAUAGAAAAAUUGGGAUAAUAAGGUUUUGGUGUGGAAAACAUCUUGCUGGAAGCUCUAAGCUGCUCUUACAAGAUGAAUCUUUUGCUGCUGUACUGUUCCAGAUGGUGGUGUUAACCCUUCUGGUGCUUCAGCCAUGGCAGGGUUUUGUUAGGGAAACUUCUUGGAUAAGAACCUCUGCUUGAAUAAAAUAAUUGAUUUCUGAGUCUUUGUAGUUCAAACACAUACAAGGGAAAGGCUAUAGAUCACUAGGUUGCUAUUUAUGACCUAAACCAGACUCUGGUUGUAUGGGUCUAUAUGUAGAGCAGCGUGGAAUAUUUAAAUUGAGUAUGUAACACUAAAAACAGAACUUGUCUGUUAUUCAGUCUUUUUAAUUAAAAAAUAAAUAAUAUAUUCAUAGGAUAGAGGCAGGUUAAUUCCAAAAGCACACUUUUGAUGGAAUUCAGUUGCCCCUUCAAGGAAGCAUUGACAAAACUUCCAGCCUGUUCUACAGCCUUCAUGAUAAUUAAUGACAACUUCUCUGAUCUAUUCAGACUGCGGAGAAGAUAAUAUAAACACAAAUAAUGAAGAAGGGCCAUAGUCUGAAACUAAGGCUUUGGGACACCGUGUGGUCUGGUCUCACAA
Molecule: long non-coding RNA, 1597 nt
Filed under: Strigops habroptila (Kakapo)
Lineage: Eukaryota; Metazoa; Chordata; Aves; Psittaciformes; Psittacidae
Description: lncRNA (ENSSHBG00005010637.1)
Source: RNAcentral